This 619-nucleotide ribosomal RNA is filed under the name uncultured bacterium. RNAcentral's name for it is "bacterial SSU rRNA". It matches the Rfam family "Bacterial small subunit ribosomal RNA", at positions 52 to 680 of the family's 1533-position model. The record is from RNAcentral.
UACAUGCAAGUCGAACGAGGAGCCUUUGUAUUCGUACGAGGGAUUUCCGAGUGGCGAACGAGUGAGUAACGCGUUGAUGACCUGCCCCAAAGCGGGGGAUAACAUUUCGAAAGAGAUGCUAAUACCCCAUGUGAUCAUUUGAAUUAGAACCUUAUGAUUAAAGGAGUAAUCCACUUUGGGAGGGAUCUGCGUCCCAUCAGCUAGUUGGUAAGGUAAUGGCUUACCAAGGCUACGACGGGUAGGGGACCUGAGAGGGUGACCCCCCACACUGGUACUGAAACACGGACCAGACACCUACGGGUGGCAGCAGUAGGGAAUAUUGCACAAUGGACGAAAGUCUGAUGCAGCAACGCCGCGUGUAUGAUGAAGGCCUUCGGGUCGUAAAAUACUUUUAUGAGGGAAGAGAAAGGACGGUACCUCAUGAAUAAGGAUCGGCUAACUACGUGCCAGCAGCCGCGGUAACACGUAGGAUCCAAGCGUUAUCCGGAUUUACUGGGCGUAAAGCGCGUGCAGGUGGUAUGGUAAGUUGGAUGUGAAAUCUCCCGGCUCAACUGGGAGAGGUCGUUCAAAACUGCCAAACUAGAGGACGGUAGAGGAAGGUGGAAUUCCGGGUGUAGUG